CGGCAAUGGAGGAAACUCUGACCGAGCAACGCCGCGUGAACGAUGAAGUAUUUCGGUACGUAAAGUUCUUUUAUUAGGGAAGAAUAAAUGAUGGAAAAAUCAUUCUGACGGUACCUAAUGAAUAAGCCCCGGCUAACUAUGUGCCAGCAGCCGCGGUAAUACAUAGGGGGCAAGCGUUAUCCGGAAUUAUUGGGCGUAAAGGGUGCGUAGGCGGUUAAAUAAGUUUAUGGUCUAAGUGCAAUGCUCAACAUUGUGAUGCUAUAAAAACUGUUUAGCUAGAGUAAGAUAGAGGCAAGUGGAAUUCCAUGUGUAGUGGUAAAAUGCGUAAAUAUAUGGAGGAACACCAGUAGCGAAGGCGGCUUGCUGGGUCUUUACUGACGCUGAGGCACGAAAGCGUGGGGAGCAAACAGGAUUAGAUACCCUGGUAGUCCACGCCGUAAACGAUGAGUACUAAACGUUGGGUAAAACCAGUGUUGAAGUUAACACAUUAAGUACUCCGCCUGAGUAGUACGUACGCAAGUAUGAAACUUAAAGGAAUUGACGGGACUUCGCACAAGCGGUGGAUCAUGUUGUUUAAUUCGAAGGUACCCGAAAAACCUCACCAGGUCUUGACAUGCUUCUGCAAAGCUGUAGAAACACAGUGGAGGUUAUCAGUUGCACAGGUGGUGCAUGGUUGUCGUCAGCUCGUGUCGUGAGAUGUUGGGUUAAGUCCCGCAACGAGCGCAACCCUUAUUGUUAGUUACCAGCACGUAAUGGUGGGGACUUUAGCAAGACUGCCAGUGAUAAAUUGGAGGAAGGUGGGGACGACGUCAAAUCAUCAUGCCCCUUAUGACCUGGGCUACAAACGUGAUACAAUGGCUGUUACAAAGAGUAGCUGAA
RNAcentral lists this ribosomal RNA (879 nucleotides) under Chinese Huanglongbing disease-associated phytoplasma. RNAcentral describes it as "bacterial SSU rRNA". It matches the Rfam family "Bacterial small subunit ribosomal RNA", at positions 366 to 1254 of the family's 1533-position model. The record is from RNAcentral. Lineage: Bacteria; Bacillati; Mycoplasmatota; Mollicutes; Acholeplasmatales; Acholeplasmataceae.